GCUUGCUUCUUUGCUGACGAGUGGCGGACGGGUGAGUAAUGUCUGGGAAACUGCCUGAUGGAGGGGGAUAACUACUGGAAACGGUAGCUAAUACCGCAUAACGUCGCAAGACCAAAGAGGGGGACCUUCGGGCCUCUUGCCAUCGGAUGUGCCCAGAUGGGAUUAGCUUGUUGGUGGGGUAACGGCUCACCAAGGCGACGAUCCCUAGCUGGUCUGAGAGGAUGACCAGCCACACUGGAACUGAGACACGGUCCAGACUCCUACGGGAGGCAGCAGUGGGGAAUAUUGCACAAUGGGCGCAAGCCUGAUGCAGCCAUGCCGCGUGUAUGAAGAAGGCCUUCGGGUUGUAAAGUACUUUCAGCGGGGAGGAAGGGAGUAAAGUUAAUACCUUUGCUCAUUGACGUUACCCGCAGAAGAAGCACCGGCUAACUCCGUGCCAGCAGCCGCGGUAAUACGGAGGGUGCAAGCGUUAAUCGGAAUUACUGGGCGUAAAGCGCACGCAGGCGGUUUGUUAAGUCAGAUGUGAAAUCCCCGGGCUCAACCUGGGAACUGCAUCUGAUACUGGCAAGCUUGAGUCUCGUAGAGGGGGGUAGAAUUCCAGGUGUAGCGGUGAAAUGCGUAGAGAUCUGGAGGAAUACCGGUGGCGAAGGCGGGCCCCUGGACGAAGACUGA
This 672-nucleotide ribosomal RNA is filed under the name uncultured Pseudomonadota bacterium. RNAcentral describes it as "bacterial SSU rRNA". It matches the Rfam family "Bacterial small subunit ribosomal RNA", at positions 74 to 743 of the family's 1533-position model. Lineage: Bacteria; Pseudomonadati; Pseudomonadota. The record is from RNAcentral.